CGUUAAUCGGAAUUACUGGGCGUAAAGCGUGCGCAGGCGGUUUUGUAAGUCUGACGUGAAAUCCCCGGGCUCAACCUGGGAAUUGCGUUGGAGACUGCAAGGCUAGAAUCUGGCAGAGGGGGGUAGAAUUCCACGUGUGAGCAGUGAAAUGCGUAGAGAUGUGGAGGAACACCGAUGGCGAAGGCAGCCCCCUGGGUCAAGAUUGACGCUCAUGCACGAAAGCGUGGGGAGCAAACAGGAUUAGAAACCCGGAGUCGAGACCAAGAUCCAUCC
RNAcentral lists this ribosomal RNA (273 nucleotides) under uncultured bacterium. RNAcentral describes it as "partial 16S ribosomal RNA". It matches the Rfam family "Bacterial small subunit ribosomal RNA", at positions 539 to 812 of the family's 1533-position model. The record is from RNAcentral.